CCUACGGGGGGCUGCAGUGGGGAAUAUUGGACAAUGGGGGGAACCCUGAUCCAGCCAUGCCGCGUGUGUGAAGAAGGCCCUCGGGUUGUAAAGCACUUUCAGUGAGGAAGAACGCCUGGUGGUUAAUACCCAUCAGGAAAGACAUCACUCACAGAAGAAGCACCGGCUAACUCCGUGCCAGCAGCCGCGGUAAUACGGAGGGUGCGAGCGUUAAUCGGAAUUACUGGGCGUAAAGCGCGCGUAGGUGGCUUGAUAAGCCGGUUGUGAAAGCCCCGGGCUCAACCUAGGAACGGCAUCCGGAACUGUCAAGCUAGAGUGCAGGAGAGGAAGGUAGAAUUCCCGGUGUAGCGGUGAAAUGCGUAGAGAUCGGGAGGAAUACCAGUGGCGAAGGCGGCCUUCUGGACUGACACUGACACUGAGGUGCGAAAGCGUGGGUAGCAAACAGGAUUAGAUACCCGAGUAGUC
RNAcentral lists this ribosomal RNA (465 nucleotides) under Vreelandella stevensii. Its description in RNAcentral is "partial 16S ribosomal RNA". It matches the Rfam family "Bacterial small subunit ribosomal RNA", at positions 338 to 795 of the family's 1533-position model. The record is from RNAcentral. Lineage: Bacteria; Pseudomonadati; Pseudomonadota; Gammaproteobacteria; Oceanospirillales; Halomonadaceae.